Leptopilina heterotoma is the source of this 2411-nucleotide long non-coding RNA. RefSeq lists it as uncharacterized. Lineage: Eukaryota; Metazoa; Arthropoda; Insecta; Hymenoptera; Figitidae. The record is from RefSeq and is a predicted model, not a curated record. The transcript is spliced from 10 exons.
AUUAUUGAAAUAUUAUAUUAUGAUUAAUUAUUAUUAUUCUUAUUAUAUUAUUAUUAAUUAUUAUUAAUUAUUAAUUAUUAUUAUUAAUAAAUAUUAUUAAUAUUAUUAUUAAUUAAUAAUAUUAUUGCUGAUGCUGAAUUUAUGCUGAGGAAUAAAUGUGUAUCUUAAAAAGAGAGAGCGAAUCUAGGAAAAAAUUAUCUUAAAAUGAUUUAUUCCUUGUGAAUUUGUGCACAUUCUAUAGAAUGUUACAAAAAAUAUUUCGAGGGAAUAAAUCUCUUAUCGAAGAAUGGUAGGCAAUUGAAAAUUAUAAUAAUUUAUAUAUGUGGGGAGGAACAGUUUGUUGAUAAUUUUUGUGGAUAGGUGAAGUAAAUAGUGAAUAAAAUAAAAAAGGAAAAAAAAAAAUUUUGAAAGGUUGUUGUUGUAAAUAAUAAAUGGACAAUUGUAAGUGAAGUGAUGGAUAAAAGAAAAAAAAAGAAAUAAAUGAAAGAGGACCUGUUGAGAGAAUCUUUUUUUGUGAGAAAAUAAUUCACAAAAGAAGAGGGAGGAUAUAAAAGAAAAAAAAUGAAUAAAAAGAAAACACAAUUUUUUUGCGAUACUGUUUAUCUCGUCGCUGCGAAUCGCUGAAUAUAUGUGUAUAUAAAUAUAUAAAUAUGUAGAUAUUAUAUAUUUAUAUAUAUAUGUAUGUAUAAAUAUAUACAUGUAUAAAUAAACAAAAAAUAAUGCUAAGAAUUCAGAGAAAAAAAAAUAAACACAUACACACGCGUAAACAUUAUAUAAAAAUCAUAUCUAUAUAAAAAAAUAAAAAAAAACGAACUCCAUUUGUAGUCUUUUUUUUUGAAAAAUGAUUUCCGUAAUUUCCAAGUUUUCCUCCAACGAAAGCAAGUGUUUGUUGCUUCAAAAGAAACCUUUCCUUUGUAUUUUACAUUCUUUUGUAAAGAAGUAUUUCUAAUAUUAUUUUUUUCAGGAUUUUUUUUUUAUUAUGUACGAUAAGAAAAAUUACAGAUUUAUAGAAAGGAGAAGAAAUUUGCCAUACAAAUAGGAAAUAAGUUUUAUUUACAUGAAGAGAAAAUUGAUUCAGGACUAUUUUACUUAUUGUUUGCGAAAGGGAAACAAGAAGCAAACGCGACAAAUCACUGGCGAAAAUUUUUCAAUGGAACGUGAAACAUGGAAAUAAUUUUAUUAAUGAAGAAACAAUUGAUUGAAGACUAUUUUACUUAAUUGUUCAAGGAAGGGAGACAACAAGAAGAAGAAGCAACAAAUCAGAUGAAUUUUUAUCAGUGGAAAAAAUUAGUUUUCAAUGGAUCGUGCUAUAUGAAAACAAUUCUAUGAGAUUUAUUCUUCGUGAUGCAGAAAUUAAUUUCCAUCUUUUGUGGAUGAAAUACGAAGAAACCACAGGAGUGGAAAAGAAUUAUUUUCCAUGAUAGAAAAUUCGCUGGAAGGAGACGAAGUAAUUUUAUUUCUUUUCUGGGAUGGUCACUUUUUUUACAGCGAUGACUAAAAAUUAAAAAGCCAAUGAUGAAGCGGAGAAGAAACAAAGGAAAAAAAGAAAAAAAAGAAUAGAAGCACAAAAAAUCAAAACAAAAUUUAUUGUGAUGUCCAUUUCUCUUUAGUUACGAGAAGAAAUAGAACUCUGACAGUCGGGAAAUAACUUGAAAGCAUCACAAUCUUAUCUUCUUAAAGAGGAUAAAAAAAUUGAUUGGAAGAAGACGAAGUAAUUUUGUUCCCUUUCUGAGAUGGUCAAUUUUUUACAGAGAUGACUCUAAAAGUUAAAAAGCUAUUAAUAGAGAAAAAGAAGAAGAACAAUAAGGAGAAAAAUGUUUAAAAAUCAAGGAAAAAUUUAUUAUGAUGACAAAUCCUUUUUCGUUAAGAGGAGAAAUUAAUCUCUGGAAGUUUACUGCAAACAUCAUCUUAUCUUCCUAAAGGGGGAUAUAAAAAGAAAUUUGUUGACACUCAUAAGAAAUGAAGUUUCUUCUGAUCUGAACAUAUUUUUUAAACCAACAACUCUAAAAAUGAAAAAGAUUGAAAAAAUGGAUUGAGGAAGAAAAGUUAAUUUUACAUCGACGUUUUUUUAGUGUUUCAAGAAGGCAGUCUCAAAGCAACGCAAAUGAUAAUGGCUCUGGAAAAUCAAAUUCUGGAAUUCGUUUUGUACUCAAGGAUUUAAUUUACUUGAGGGAAAAUGAAGAAAUGCCGAGAAGAAAUCUUAAGACUGAAGAUCAACAUCAAAAGAAAGCAUUGAGAAAGAAGAAAAACCGAAUAGAAAAGUAAUAAUUAGUUAAGUAAGGUAAACGAUAAUUAAUUUUUUUAAUUUACUUUUAUUCAUAUUAUUAUUUAGUAUUAUUUAUUUUAUAAACAUUUAGUUUUCAAUACUGUUUGAAACUUUAUAAUUUUUGUAAUAAAACAAAAAAAAAAUA